This 209-nucleotide long non-coding RNA is filed under the name Capsicum annuum. RNAcentral describes it as "long non-coding RNA (CANN_LNC011679)". Lineage: Eukaryota; Viridiplantae; Streptophyta; Magnoliopsida; Solanales; Solanaceae. The record is from RNAcentral.
UCUAUAUAUCCAAAUUACACCCUUUCUUACCGUAUAUAUCCAAAUCACACCCUUUUUACUCCAAAGCCACCCACUCCCUCACCCUCACCCCGCACCCCUACACCCCUUUCUUUUAUUUUUUUUCUCACACCUCCACAACUAUCCCCACUCCACACCCCUUUCUUUUAUUUUUUUCUUACACCUUCACCUCUAAUCCACCCCACCCCACC